Long non-coding RNA from Pseudopipra pipra, 2529 nucleotides. RefSeq lists it as uncharacterized. The transcript is spliced from 2 exons. The record is from RefSeq and is a predicted model, not a curated record. Lineage: Eukaryota; Metazoa; Chordata; Aves; Passeriformes; Pipridae.
GUGGCUGUUGAAGGUCCCACAGGACAGUGAUGUUUCCUUCACCCACCCCACUCCCGGGGACUGCCUGCCCUGAGCCGUGCCCUGUGCCCCCCCGGCAGCCCCCUGCUCUUGGCAGCACGUCGGGGUCUGGCAGCUUCAUCGUGCUGAUGUGGGGAGCAUUCCCUGGGAAUGGGACACGGCUCACAGCCCUCCAGGCUUCCAGCCGGGGAUCCUGAUGCACAGCAGCGCAGGGCUCCGGGUCCCUGGCUGGGCGGCACCCACCGGCACCCGUGGGCGGGCGUGGGGUGAAACCUGCCAAAAGGAGGGAGAAACAGAUUAAGCUGUUUCCAUUCAGCAGGAAUAAUUGUCUUCCUAAUUACUGCCGUAAUUACUGUCCCAAGGGGGAAGUGGAGGGCGAGGAAAGCUCCGUGGAGAGGGGCCAGGAAAGUCGGACUCGGGGUGGGGUUUGGGGGGGGUGGUGCCGCCCGCCGCCUUCGCUCCACUGCAGCUUUUCCUGCCUCUCCUCUAAAGCCCCAAAACGAGAUCCUGGCAGAAACCCCGGCAUGAGACACGGUGACGUGGCCAGUCCUGAGCAGGGCGGGAGCAAAGCCCGAGGGACAUGCUGGAGGCGGUCGGGAGCGCAGGGUCAGGGUGGGCAGUGGGAAAGGGACCCCCGCGCAGGGACCGUGGUGGUCCCGGGGCCGCGGCUCAGCGGCUACCCUCGGUACUGCCUUGAGCCAUCCGGACAUUCCCGGUGGCACAGAGACUCCCAGCCCCGCACCCACAGGAGGGCAGGGCCACAGCGCCAGAAUCCACCGGGGCUGCAUUUUUCCCGCUAUCUUCGCAGGGAAUCACAGCCGGAUGAUCCGUGGAACGACUGACGGCAUCUUCCAGAGCAGCUCCGGCUGUCCUCGCACCGCCUGGCCUCGCAGUAACGCCAUGCCCAGGCUGGGGUGACACCGCCGUGGAUGCGGAGCCGCUCCCGGCGGUUGCUGGGGUUUGGGGCACGGCGGGUUAAAGGGGAGGGCUGUUCCCAGGUAGAUGUUGGGGCUGCACGUGAUAGAAACCCCUUCAGAGGUACCCCCUGCCCUGCCCUGACACCAGGGAUCUGCAGGGUGAGCAACUGGCAUAGCUGGGGGGGGCAGAGCCGCCAGCCAGAUCUUCUCCAGGGGGAAAACAGUGACCAGGGUGCUCAGGGUGCACCCAGGAAUGUGGCAUCUCCCAGGGCGGAGGCUCAGGUGGGAUGGGGACAGGGGCGGUGCUGUGCCAGCAGGAUGAUGUUCCUGCCCAGGCCGGGCUGCACGGCAGGAGAGGCACCAGGGGAGCCGAGGGACAGAGCGGGAACACGGGGAGCGUGGACUCCACACGCACACACACGUGUGCACAGCUGGCUUCCACGUGUGCACACACAUGUACACACACGUGCAGGCAGCUGCCCGGGCGGGGGUGUGGAGCCCUCCUGCCUCUCCCAGGGACAGGCACUCCCGGAAGGGACCGUCAGGGAAAGCCCCGGCAGCUCCGAUGCCGCCGUCCUUGCGACACUUCGACACUUCGCAGCGGCCGGGGUGGCUGAUCCCAUCAGCCCCGUGGAAGGGAGCAGGAGGCAAGAGGCAGCUCCAGCACCGCCUGACUGGAAUCUGGGCACCCACUCUGCCUCCGGCAAGGACACAGGACACCGUGCUCCAGCCCUGCAGUCCUGGUGCCCAUGCAGAGCCCCCACCUCCCUGUUCCCAGCACCAGGACCCCAUGCCCCCUGGCCUGUCCUGGUCUCCAGGCUGGCCAGGAGAUGCAGGGCUGAGGGGCUGGUGGCAGUGCAGGGCUGUGGACCGUGUCGGGUCACAGGACGUCCCUCAGGAACCAGCGAUUGUUCCCAGAGGCAGAACAAUGCCCGGAGAGCUGCCAGGGCACCACGGGCUGCUCCACAGCGCCCGGCCAGGGAGCCACCUCUGCUACCUCGGCCAGGCCAGCCCCAGGCAGGGUCUCCCGGCCCCUCGCUGCCACCUGUGCCCUACCUGUCCCCCGCAGCAGGAAGUUUCAUUGGCUGCUCCUGUCACCACCUUCGUGCCUCCCCUGAGGCUCGUCCAGCAGCAGCUGCCUGCAGGAGGGAGGGGACAGGGGAUAUUCACGCUCGGAUGGAGCAUGUCAGGUGCUGGGGCACUGGCCAGGUCAUGGGGACCAACCUUCUGCCCCAGGAGGAUUUAAAACCCUGCCUGUGCCCAGAGAGGCAGCCCCCACGCUGCCCAUCCGUGCCAUGCGGCUGCUGUCGCUGCUGCUGCUCUUGGGGCUCUGCUGCCUCUGGGCCCGGCUGCUCUCUGCAGAAUUCACCUAGCCCCCACCUGGACCUGGACUGAGGACCUGGAGUAUGCAGCCAAUCCGCACCAGACAGACAGACAACAGCUGGACAGCCAGACAGCCGAACAGCCAGCCAUGGAGGGCUUCAUCAGCUGCUGGAUGAGCACCCAGCACCCUGAUCCCACCUCAGCUCUGUGCUGACCAUGGGGGCCUCCGUGCCCCCCACCUCCCAGUAAACCCAGUCUGUGAUGAACACUG